GACGAACGCUGGCGGCGUGCCUAAUACAUGCAAGUUGAGCGAUGAAGAUUGGUGCUUGCACCAAUUUGAAGAGCAGCGAACGGGUGAGUAACGCGUGGGGAAUCUGCCUUUGAGCGGGGGACAACAUUUGGAAACGAAUGCUAAUACCGCAUAACAACUUUAAACAUAAGUUUUAAGUUUGAAAGAUGCAAUUGCAUCACUCAAAGAUGAUCCCGCGUUGUAUUAGCUAGUUGGUGAGGUAAAGGCUCACCAAGGCGAUGAUACAUAGCCGACCUGAGAGGGUGAUCGGCCACAUUGGGACUGCGACACGGCCCAAACUCCUACGGGAGGCAGCAGUAGGGAAUCUUCGGCAAUGGACGAAAGUCUGACCGAGCAACGCCGCGUGAGUGAAGAAGGUUUUCGGAUCGUAAAACUCUGUUGGUAGAGAAGAAAGUUGGUGAGAGUGGAAAGCUCAUCAAGUGACGGUAACUACCCAGAAAGGGACGGCUAACUACGUG
This 497-nucleotide ribosomal RNA is filed under the name uncultured bacterium. RNAcentral describes it as "partial 16S ribosomal RNA". It matches the Rfam family "Bacterial small subunit ribosomal RNA", at positions 28 to 507 of the family's 1533-position model. The record is from RNAcentral.